UCGAGCGAUGGAUUAAGAGCUUGCUCUUAUGAAGUUAGCGGAGGACGGGUGAGUAACACGUGGGUAACCUGUCCAGAAGACAGGGAUAACUCCGGGAAACCGGGGCUAAUACCGGAUAACAUUUUGAACCGCAUGGUUCGUAAUUGAAAGGCGGCUUCGGCUGUCACUUAUGGAUGGACCCGCGUCGCAUUAGCUAGUUGGUGAGGUAACGGCUCACCAAGGCAACGAUGCGUAGCCAACCUGAGAGGGUGAUCGGCCACACUGGGACUGAGACACGGCCCAGACUCCUACGGGAGGCAGCAGUAGGGAAUCUUCCGCAAUGGACGAAAGUCUGACGGAGCAACGCCGCGUGAGUGAUGAAGGCUUUCGGGUCGUAAAACUCUGUUGUUAGGGAAGAACAAGUGCUAGUUGAAUAAGCUGGCACCUUGACGGUCCCUAACCAGAAAGCCACGGCUAACUACGUGCCAACAGCCGCGGUAAUACGUACGUGGCAAGCGUUAUCCGGAAUUAUUGGGCGUAAAGCGCGCGCAGGUGGUUUCUUAAGUCUGAUGUGAAAGCCCACGGCUCAUCCGUGGAGGGUCAUUGGAAACUGGGAGACUUGAGUGCAGAAAUAGGAAAGUGGGAUUCCAUGUGUAGCGGUGAAAAUGCGUAGAGAUAUGGAGGAACACCA
This 670-nucleotide ribosomal RNA is filed under the name Bacillus cereus. Its description in RNAcentral is "bacterial SSU rRNA". It matches the Rfam family "Bacterial small subunit ribosomal RNA", at positions 62 to 711 of the family's 1533-position model. Lineage: Bacteria; Bacillati; Bacillota; Bacilli; Caryophanales; Bacillaceae. The record is from RNAcentral.